CCCUGGCUGGCUCAGUUGGUAGAGCAUGAGACUCUUAAUCUCAGAUUGUGAGUUCAAGCUCCAUGUUGGGUA
This 72-nucleotide transfer RNA is filed under the name Canis lupus familiaris (dog). It matches the Rfam family "tRNA". From Rfam's summary of the family: Transfer RNA (tRNA) molecules are approximately 80 nucleotides in length. The record is from Rfam by way of RNAcentral. Lineage: Eukaryota; Metazoa; Chordata; Mammalia; Carnivora; Canidae. RNAcentral also lists the same sequence under 2 other names.